This 279-nucleotide unclassified non-coding RNA is filed under the name plant metagenome. Its description in RNAcentral is "partial contains small subunit ribosomal RNA, internal transcribed spacer 1, and 5.8S ribosomal RNA". The record is from RNAcentral.
UUUCCGUAGGUGAACCUGCGGAAGGAUCAUUAUUGUAUAACCGAGGAUCAAGUGCUGUCGCUGACCCACUUGUUUGUGCACGCCCGAGUGCCCCCACACCCAUCCAUCUAACCCCCGUGUGCACCACCGCGGGGGUCCCCCUUUGACCUAUGCGGGCGGCGGUUUACGGUUUUACACAAAGUAUGUGGGCCGUAUAGAAUGUAUUUAGUGUGUUUUCGAACACGCAAGCUAUACAACUUUCAACAAUGGAACACUUGGCUCUCUCAGUGAUGAAGAGGG